RNAcentral lists this ribosomal RNA (252 nucleotides) under uncultured bacterium. Its description in RNAcentral is "partial 16S ribosomal RNA". It matches the Rfam family "Bacterial small subunit ribosomal RNA", at positions 524 to 776 of the family's 1533-position model. The record is from RNAcentral.
UACGAAGGGGGCUAGCGUUGUUCGGAAUUACUGGGCGUAAGCGCACGUAGGCGGAUAUUUAAGUCAGGGGUGAAAUCCCGGGGCUCAACCCCGGAACUGCCUUUGAUACUGGGUAUCUCGAGUCCGAGAGAGGUGAGUGGAAUUCCGAGUGUAGAGGUGAAAUUCGUAGAUAUUCGGAGGAACACCAGUGGCGAAGGCGGCUCACUGGCUCGGUACUGACGCUGAGGUGCGAAAGCGUGGGGAGCAAAAAGG